GAUGAACGCUAGCUACAGGCUUAACACAUGCAAGUCGCAGGGUAACAUGAGGAAAGCUUGCUUUCCUUGAUGACGACUGGCGCACGGGUGAGUAACGCGUAUCCAACCUUCCCAUAACUACGGGAUAACCCGUUGAAAGACGGCCUAAUACCGUAUGACAUCGUUUGCUUACAUCAAAUAACGAUUAAAGGUUUAGCGGUAAUGGAGGGGAGUCGUCUGGUUUGGGUGGUGGCCGGGUUACGGCCCACCAAGGCGAAGGUCAGUAGGGGGUCUGAGAGGGAGGUCCCCCACAUUGGAACUGAGACACGGUCCAAACUCCUACGGGAGGCAGCAGUGAGGAAUAUUGGUCAAUGGGCGAGAGCCUGAACCAGCCAAGUAGCGUGCAGGAUGACGGCCCUAUGGGUUGUAAACUGCUUUUAUGUGGGGAUAAAGUGCGUGACGUGUCAUGCAUUGCAGGUACCACAUGAAUAAGGACCGACUAAUUCCGUG
RNAcentral lists this ribosomal RNA (489 nucleotides) under uncultured bacterium. RNAcentral's name for it is "partial 16S ribosomal RNA". It matches the Rfam family "Bacterial small subunit ribosomal RNA", at positions 28 to 507 of the family's 1533-position model. The record is from RNAcentral.